AGUCCAUCAUCGGGUUGCUAGCUUUUUUUAUAAUUGCCAGCUGCCCUGUGAAGGGCUGU
Molecule: microRNA precursor, 59 nt
Filed under: Parasteatoda tepidariorum (common house spider)
Lineage: Eukaryota; Metazoa; Arthropoda; Arachnida; Araneae; Theridiidae
Description: microRNA pte-mir-745 precursor
Gene: pte-mir-745
Source: miRBase by way of RNAcentral